GUAUUGAUUGCGUGUGACCGCAAAAAUAACAUUCUACACUGUAUCAAGUUUUGUGUGAAAACGUGAGCCCUCCUGCAAAGGGGACCCACGCGGUGAUGCACAAGGGGUGAAAUGGAUGUGUGAGAGUGCUCAGGCGUGCACGACCUUUUGAAAGGUCAGCGACAGCCCUUGCACCUCGGUUAUACAAUAAUGAUCCUUCCGCAGGUUCACCUACGGAAA
This 219-nucleotide unclassified non-coding RNA is filed under the name uncultured fungus. Its description in RNAcentral is "sequence contains ITS1". Lineage: Eukaryota; Fungi. The record is from RNAcentral.